This 447-nucleotide ribosomal RNA is filed under the name uncultured bacterium. RNAcentral describes it as "partial 16S ribosomal RNA". It matches the Rfam family "Bacterial small subunit ribosomal RNA", at positions 328 to 792 of the family's 1533-position model. The record is from RNAcentral.
UGUCCAGACUCCUACGGGAGGCAGCAGUGGGGAAUAUUGCACAAUGGGGGAAACCCUGAUGCAGCGACGCCGCGUGAGCGAUGAAGUAUUUCGGUAUGUAAAGCUCUAUCAGCAGGGAAGAAAAUGACGGUACCUGACUAAGAAGCCCCGGCUAACUACGUGCCAGCAGCCGCGGGAAUACGUAGGGGGCAAGCGUUAUCCGGAUUUACUGGGUGUAAAGGGGGCGCAGACGGCAGCGCAAGCCAGGAGUGAAAGCCCGGGGCCCAACCCCGGGACUGCUCUUGGAACUGCGCGGCUGGAGUGCAGGAGGGGCAGGCGGAAUUCCUGGUGUAGCGGUGAAAUGCGUAGAUAUCAGGAGGAACACCGGUGGCGAAGGCGGCCUGCUGGACUGCGACUGACGUUGAGGCCCGAAAGCGUGGGGAGCAAACAGGAUUAGAUCCCCCUGUA